Molecule: long non-coding RNA, 755 nt
Organism: Patella vulgata (common limpet)
Lineage: Eukaryota; Metazoa; Mollusca; Gastropoda; Patellidae
Exons: 3
Source: RefSeq, a predicted model, not a curated record
GGGUUUAAUGUCCGCUUCCACCUAGCAUGAUAUCGCUGACAUACGUAACUCCAUGCUAUGUUUACCUUUAUAUAUAGAUAUGGAAAUUUAACCUGUGUGUAGUCUAAAGUCUAGAGGGUUGCUGUCUAAUGAAGCGUGCACCAAGUCACUGACGACUGAGGUUUAGUAUUUACCUUCCCCUACUAUUGUAUAGACCAGACUGGUGAGAAAUCAAGCAAGCAUAUUAUACUAGUAUGAUAUAAAUAGGCGACGGGCACAUUAAUACACUAUACAGACAUUUGAGCGGAUGUCAUUUACCCGAAUUUGUACCUUGGAUAUACAUUCAACGGAGUCAACCAAUAGUUUUUAAAGAUGCAUAUGACCGAGAAAUCAGAGAGUGAAGUUCAAAUCAAGCUGUGUGACAAUGCCAGUAUCUUAGCAAAGAUAGUUUCCAUUUUACUAACUCUGGCAUUGGGUAUACACGUCGUUGCUGUCGCAACGUCAUACUGGGUCAUGGCUUACACUGGAAAUGACACUCUUUGGCACGAAGGGAUCUGGCAGAGUUGUUAUAAGAAUCUUUAUAAAACCUGGGUUUGUGCUGCUUACGAAGUCAUUCAUCAUGGUUCGAAAAUGCCAGGCUGGUUUCAUGUAACUCAGACAUUUUCUGUAUUUGGUAUAUUGGCGUUGAUUCCAACUAUAUUGAUAUCUGUGUUAUAUACUUUACUACCUAAACUCAGCGGUAGAAAAUUUGCUGCUAUCCUCACCAUAAUUCUGUC